RNAcentral lists this unclassified non-coding RNA (217 nucleotides) under Sporormiella persica. RNAcentral describes it as "Preussia persica partial internal transcribed spacer region". The stretch from base 1 to 46 matches the Rfam family "Eukaryotic small subunit ribosomal RNA", at positions 1786 to 1831 of the family's 1831-position model. The record is from RNAcentral. Lineage: Eukaryota; Fungi; Ascomycota; Dothideomycetes; Pleosporales; Sporormiaceae.
AAGUCGUAACAAGGUUUCCGUAGGUGAACCUGCGGAAGGAUCAUUAUCGUUGGGCUUCGGCCCAUUCGAGAUAACACCCUUGCCUUUUUGAGUACCUUUUCGUUUCCUCGGCAGGCUCGCCUGCCAACGGGGACCCCAAAAACGCUUUGUAAUACCUGUCAUUGUCUGAUAUAACAAGCAAAAAUUAAAACUUUCAACAACGGAUCUCUUGGUUCUG